GCACAGGAAUGCACCGUAGUUUACUACACCGUAUUCUGUGAGUUGCGAACGGGUGAGUAACGCGUAGGUAACCUGCCUGGUAGCGGGGGAUAACUAUUGGAAACGAUAGCUAAUACCGCAUAAGAACAUUUACUGCAUGGUAGAUGUUUAAAAGGUGCAAAUGCAUCACUACCAGAUGGACCUGCGUUGUAUUAGCUAGUAGGUGAGGUAACGGCUCACCUAGGCGACGAUACAUAGCCGACCUGAGAGGGUGAUCGGCCACACUGGGACUGAGACACGGCCCAGACUCCUACGGGAGGCAGCAGUAGGGAAUCUUCGGCAAUGGGGGGAACCCUGACCGAGCAACGCCGCGUGAGUGAAGAAGGUUUUCGGAUCGUAAAGCUCUGUUGUUAAGGAAGAACGAGUGUGAGAAUGGAAAGUUC
RNAcentral lists this ribosomal RNA (422 nucleotides) under uncultured Streptococcus sp. RNAcentral's name for it is "bacterial SSU rRNA". It matches the Rfam family "Bacterial small subunit ribosomal RNA", at positions 61 to 465 of the family's 1533-position model. The record is from RNAcentral. Lineage: Bacteria; Bacillati; Bacillota; Bacilli; Lactobacillales; Streptococcaceae.